RNAcentral lists this ribosomal RNA (903 nucleotides) under uncultured bacterium. Its description in RNAcentral is "bacterial SSU rRNA". It matches the Rfam family "Bacterial small subunit ribosomal RNA", at positions 33 to 927 of the family's 1533-position model. The record is from RNAcentral.
ACGCUAGCUACAGGCUUAACACAUGCAAGUCGAGGGGAAACGGCAUUAAGUGCUUGCACUUUUUGGACGUCGACCGGCGCACGGGUGAGUAACGCGUAUCCAACCUUCCCAUGACUAAGGGAUAACCUGCCGAAAGGCAGACUAAUACCUUAUGGUCUUCACUGACGGCAUCAGAUGUGAAGUAAAGAUCUAUCGGUUAUGGAUGGGGAUGCGUCUGAUUAGCUUGUUGGCGGGGUAACGGCCCACCAAGGCAACGAUCAGUAGGGGUUCUGAGAGGAAGGUCCCCCACAUUGGAACUGAGACACGGUCCAAACUCCUACGGGAGGCUGCAGUGAGGAAUAUUGGUCAAUGGGCGAGAGCCUGAACCGGCCAAGUAGCGUGCAGGAUGACGGCCCUAUGGGUUGUAAACUGCUUUUGUAUGGGGAUAAAGUCAAUCACGUGUGAUUGUUUGCAGGUACCAUACGAAUAAGGACCGGCUAAUUCCGUGCCAGCAGCCGCGGUAAUACGGAAGGUCCGGGCGUUAUCCGGAUUUAUUGGGUUUAAAGGGAGCGUAGGCUGGAGAUUAAGUGUGUUGUGAAAUGUAGACGCUCAACGUCUGACUUGCAGCGCAUACUGGUUUCCUUGAGUACGCACAACGUUGGCGGUAUUCGUCGUGUAGCGGUGAAAUGCUUAGAUAUGACGAAGAACUCCGAUUGCGAAGGCAGCUGACGGGAGCGCAACUGACGCUGAAGCUCGAAGGUGCGGGUAUCGAACAGGAUUAGAUACCCUGGUAGUCCGCACAGUAAACGAUGGAUGCCCGCUGUUGGUACCUGGUAUCAGCGGCUAAGCGAAAGCAUUAAGCAUCCCACCUGGGGAGUACGCCGGCAACGGUGAAACUCAAAGGAAUUGACGGGGGCCCGCACA